GAAACGACUGCUAAGACUGGAUAGGAAAAGUAAAGGCAUCUUCACUUUUUUAAAAGACCUUCUUUGAAGGUAUGCUUAAGGAGGGGCUUGCGACACAUUAGUUAGUUGGCAGGGUAAAGGCCUACCAAGACUAUGAUGUGUAGCUGGACUGAGAGGUUGAACAGCCACAUUGGGACUGAGACACGGCCCAAACUCCUACGGGAGGCAGCAGUAGGGAAUUUUCGGCAAUGGAGGAAACUCUGACCGAGCAACGCCGCGUGAACGAUGAAGUAUUUCGGUAUGUAAAGUUCUUUUAUUAAGGAAGAAAAAAGAGUGGAAAAACUCCCUUGACGGUACUUAAUGAAUAAGCCCCGGCUAAUUAUGUGCCAGCAGCCGCGGUAAUACAUAAGGGGCGAGCGUUAUCCGGAAUUAUUGGGCGUAAAGGGUGCGUAGGCGGUUUAAUAAGUCUAUAGUUUAAUUUCAGUGCUUAACGCUGUUAUGCUAUAGAAACUGUUUUACUAGAGUGAGAUAGAGGCAAGCGGAAUUCCAUGUGUAGCGGUAAAAUGCGUAAAUAUAUGGAGGAACACCAGAGGCGUAGGCGGCUUGCUGGGUCUUUACUGACGCUGAGGCACGAAAGCGUGGGGAGCAAACAGGAUUAGAUACCCUGGUAGUCCACGCUGUAAACGAUGAGUACUAAGUGUCGGGUAAAACCGGUACUGAAGUUAACACAUUAAGUACUCCGCCUGAGUAGUACGUACGCAAGUAUGAAACUUAAAGGAAUUGACGGGACUCCGCACAAGCGGUGGAUCAUGUUGUUUAAUUCGAAGAUACACGAAAAACCUUACCAGGUCUUGACAUUUUCUUGCGAAGUUAUAGAAAUAUAAUGGAGGUUAUCAGGAAAACAGGUGGUGCAUGGUUGUCGUCAGCUCGUGUCGUGAGAUGUUAGGUUAAGUCCUAAAACGAGCGCAACCCUUGUCGUUAAUUGCCAGCAUGUAAUGAUGGGGACUUUAACGAGACUGCCAAUGAAAAAUUGGAGGAAGGUGGGGAUUACGUCAAAUCAUCAUGCCCCUUAUGAUCUGGGCUACAAACGUGAUACAAUGGUUGAUACAAAGAGUAGCUGAAACGCGAGUUCUUAGCCAAUCUCACAAAAUCAAUCUCAGUUCGGAUUGAAGUCUGCAACUCGACUUCAUGAAGUUGGAAUCGCUAGUAAUCGCGAAUCAGCAUGUCGCGGUGAAUACGUUCUCGGGGUUUGUACACACCGCCCGUCA
This 1247-nucleotide ribosomal RNA is filed under the name Candidatus Phytoplasma pruni -related phytoplasma. RNAcentral describes it as "bacterial SSU rRNA". It matches the Rfam family "Bacterial small subunit ribosomal RNA", at positions 153 to 1399 of the family's 1533-position model. Lineage: Bacteria; Bacillati; Mycoplasmatota; Mollicutes; Acholeplasmatales; Acholeplasmataceae. The record is from RNAcentral.